UACGAAGGGGGCUAGCGUUGCUCGGAAUUACUGGGCGUAAAGGGCGCGUAGGCGGCACUGUUAGUCAGGCGUGAAAGUCCUGGGCUCAACCUGGGAACUGCGCUUGAUACGGCAGAGCUAGAGGAUGGAAGAGGGUCGCGGAAUUCCCAGUGUAGAGGUGAAAUUCGUAGAUAUUGGGAAGAACACCGGUGGCGAAGGCGGCGACCUGGUCCAUUACUGACGCUGAGGCGCGACAGCGUGGGGAGCAAACGGG
This 253-nucleotide ribosomal RNA is filed under the name uncultured bacterium. Its description in RNAcentral is "partial 16S ribosomal RNA". It matches the Rfam family "Bacterial small subunit ribosomal RNA", at positions 524 to 776 of the family's 1533-position model. The record is from RNAcentral.